AUGGGUUUGGAUCUGAGGAAGGAUCUUGCUCUAGUCUCCUGCUUUGUAGAGGUUUGUUGUAUACAAUGUGAGCAAGUAGCAUUUUUUGAAGUGGUUAAACAUAAACAAUCAAGAAUUUCCCCUUCCUGCCAAGGCAGUUGGAGCAGAAGAAUAAUCUUCAGCUCAGGCUUUGGACCUGACAUGUUAGCUGGUUGGAUUCUCGAUCCUUUCAGUGUGUGUUUCAUGCGGGAGGAUAUGGCUCAAACAGAUGUAGCUCUUUCUAAGCUUGACUUGCCUGAAAGGCUCCUCAUAAACAUCCAAAUACCAAUUACCCAAAAUUUGCUUAUCAUCCACCAGCAAGUGUUGGCUAAUUUGAAGCCAUAACAUUUUCUAUAUGGAAGUUUUUUUGUUUGCCUGUAGAUAGCUGCUGUUUUAGCCUGGUUGAGAUCUCCAUGUGUUUGUAGUUUCCCUGUUGUCCCUUUUGCCCAGCCUGACACAGAAGUUGCCUGGGGCUUGCAGUCCUCACUGUGUCAGCAGCGCAUUGUCCCUGUAUCAGCAGGAGCCUGCAGGCUUGUGGCACAUGCUGUGCAGUGCUCAGAAGACUAGUGCUGAGUGCUUACAGGCGGUGCGAUGCUAUUUCUGCCUGGCAACAGGAGGAAGACCUGUCCUUCAGUGACAAAUAAGAAGCUAAGCCUUUUGACUCAGCAACACAGGAUGCAGAAGGGAAAUCCUGAUGUUAGGUCAGAGCUGAGGACUCUGGAGCAGCAGUUGGUGCUCAUCUGCAAAAUCUCACUGCCCUGGAGCCAGCCCUACCCCUACCACUGUGAUGGCUGAACAAUUGAGAGAAGAAAUGCUGCCUAACACCCCUAUGCCCUGGGCGCUGCUCCCAACCAUGUCUGUGAACAGCAAUGUGGCAGGAGUUCCUUUGGAGGCUCAGUGACAGCCAGUCCUUGUUAGACCUGGGCAAGGUUUACCAUCAGCUGGUUGCCCGCUGCUGUGACCUGUGUCUAGUCUUGUGUCUUGUAGUUUAUUGCUCGGCUCCUCACCUUGAGUUCUGUGUACUGAAUCCACCUAAUCACAGUAGAAGGUUUGCCCAUCUUUUAGCCAUGACUUUGCCAUGUUUUUCCAGCUCCAAAAAAGCAAAUGCUGGAAAACUGCAUCUUCCAAUACGUUGGAUAAUCACACACCUGGAAUUAACUUUCACACUGAGGUAAGGUUAACUGACCUGUUCUCUGUCAUCCCAUGGAGAAACUUCCCCAGUCAUUUUGUACCAUUAUAUAAAUAUAUAUAUAUAAAUAUAAAUAUAUAAAUACAAUAUGUGAAGACAUCUUAUUGGUUUUUAUUUGAAACAAUUUUUAGGCUUGUUUUGGGUAUCUGUGCUGCCUGUAAUGUAUUGACCUGUUUUAUAGGUGCCUUUUUAUUAAAAAGACAAAUUACAAGACCUGACCCUGUGCCUGUAUUUUUCCGCAUGAUUUUCCACAGGACUGCAGCAGAGACAGAGAGUGCGAGAUGUGCUGGAAGGACUGCGUGGGCAUUGGGGCAGCCCCUUCUCUGUAGCACUCCCAGGCACAUAUUCAUUCAUGCGUUCACUUACUUGCACUCACCCAUGCAUGCUCCACUGCCUGCCACGGCCCUGUGAUCACUGUGUAUGCAUAGCAGGAUGCUCUGCUGGAACCCCAGCUCUGUCUCCUGGGAGACUUGGCUGGCCUGCAGGAAAUGCAGAGCAGGGUGCUGUUGUGAGGGUCUUUGUGUUCCCAUCUUUGGAGUUGCCUUCAUCAGAGACCAGGGCUUCCUCUGAUUUGUCUGCUGGAGCCUUGUUUGCAGAGCACAGUCCGGGGCUGGAGGUGCAGAGGGUGUGCUGUGGAUGGCGGUGACAUCACCUUCCCACGCAUAAUCUCCCUACUUUCUGCAGGAGCCACCUUGAAGCUCCCCUUGGCUCAGUCCCCCUUCCCGGUGGCCUGGGUGGGCAGAGUGCACCUGCCUCACUUGGCAGCCAUGGCAUAGGGGCUGAGCAGAACUCCACUGGGGAGGAUGAAGGUUUGCCUGAGGGCUGCAGGGGUGGCUUUGACAGUGUGGGUACUUAGCAGGGAAGCCUACUCUGAGGCAAGGUGCUGUGACAGCCAUGCAAACCUUGAUGAGAUAGCAAGGAUUUUGCUAAGUGGAAAGCAGAGCUUCUUCUGCAGUGAAGGAAAGUUCCUCUUACUUUCUUCUUGUCACCAUUCAGCAGGCUGGCUGCAGGUAGCUGUGGGAAGAACAAUCGCAACUCUUUGGGGAAGGUCUGCCAGCUCUGAGCCAAGCCAUUCCCAGGCUGUCUGGGCCAAAUGUAGGUGUAAGGGCAGUUAGGUUAGCAGCUGCUAUAAAACUGGGGCAGGAGGAAUUAGGAAUUAGUGGAAGAGGCUCCAUAAAGCAGAGAGGUCAUACAGGUCUGGACUGACUCUGAACACAGCAGAGCCUUCUGUGGCACUGGUGAAGGGGAAUCUGAGCAAGGUGCUCCUCUAAGCCCUUUGAGCAGAGCUUGUCAGAAAGGUGCCAUCUGCCCACUUAGUUCUCUCUGAUGCAUCUUCCUUGAAUAAAGUGACACAGUUACAGACA
Molecule: long non-coding RNA, 2571 nt
Filed under: Lonchura striata (white-rumped munia)
Lineage: Eukaryota; Metazoa; Chordata; Aves; Passeriformes; Estrildidae
Description: domestica (Bengalese finch) lncRNA (ENSLSDG00000007668.1)
Source: RNAcentral